Molecule: unclassified non-coding RNA, 287 nt
Filed under: air metagenome
Description: partial contains small subunit ribosomal RNA, internal transcribed spacer 1, and 5.8S ribosomal RNA
Rfam family: Eukaryotic small subunit ribosomal RNA (bases 1-46)
Source: RNAcentral
AAGUCGUAACAAGGUUUCCGUAGGUGAACCUGCGGAAGGAUCAUUAACGAGCGAUUGGAGCCCCCCGGGGCUUCCAAACUCUCCACCCUGUGACUACAUUACCAUGUUGCUUCGGCGAGACGGUAACUAUAACAAGCUUGUAGUCAUCUUCUCGCCGUAGGACCAAAUCAACACUGCUUUAACAAAAGAAUUAGUCUGAGCAUGUUUGUUGUCUCUGUAACCCAGAGCAUGAACAGUAUUUAGAUUGGAAUACAUCAAAACUUUCAACAACGGAUCUCUUGGUUCCG